CUACGGGCGGCUGCAGUAAAGAAUCUUCCGCAAUGGGCGAAAGCCUGACGGAGCAACACUGCGUGGAGGACGAAGGCCUUCGGGUCGUAAACUCCUUUUCUGGGGGAAGAAAUUCUGACGGUACCCUAGGAAUAAGCAACGGCCAAUUACGUGCCAGCAGCCGCGGUAAUACGUAAGUUGCAAGCGUUAUCCGGAAUUAUUGGGCGUAAAGCGUCCGUAGGCGGUAAUGAAAGUCUGUGGUUAAAGCCUCCCGCUCAACGGGAGAAUCGUCACAGAAACUUCAUCGCUCGAGCAGUGCAGAGGCAAGUGGAAUUCCGGAAGUAGUGGUAAAAUACGUAGAUCUCCGGAGGAACACCAAACGCGAAGGCAUCUUGCUGGGCACUCGCUGACGCUGAGGGACGAAAGCGUGGGGAACAAACAGGAUUAGAUACCCCAGUAGUC
Molecule: ribosomal RNA, 441 nt
Filed under: uncultured bacterium
Lineage: Bacteria
Description: partial 16S ribosomal RNA
Rfam family: Bacterial small subunit ribosomal RNA
Source: RNAcentral